This is a non-coding RNA of Vicia faba (fava bean), 207 nucleotides long. The record is from the annotation of a GenBank genome assembly. Lineage: Eukaryota; Viridiplantae; Streptophyta; Magnoliopsida; Fabales; Fabaceae.
AUGAUGAUUUUCCCUGCUAGACAUGUUGCUCUGACUAUCAUUCACAGCUUUUCCAUCCAUUCUGCCUUUCUUCCCACUGUCAUCACUUCUAACUAUGGUGUUGUUGUUGUUGUUGUUCUACUUCUUUUUCUUCUUCGUCUUCUCAUUUUCAUUGUCGUUGUUAUCACUACUACUAUUCCUACUAUUGACAGUGAGCAGAGAAGGUAG